UUGGAAAAAGCCAUCCCCACCAACCUUCUAAGUAGUUCCACCCUCCCCUCCAUAAGGGUUUCUCUUCUUUUCAUUUUUCUUGACUUUUCAUUCAACAUUUCACAAGAUCUCAACCCCCAUAUUUGAUCUUUUGUUAAGAACACCUUCAAGUCCUUUGUUUUCCACAAAUAAAGUUAAAGUUAGAGAGAGAAAAUUUCAAUGUGGUAAGUAAUGAUAUUUUUUCUCUCCUAGCUUAAUAUUUGAGUGUAGAUGCGAUGUGAAAGCUUGGAAAGCUUAGGUGCUAAAAUGUGAUUUUUUUUUUUGUAUGAGAAAAUGAUGAAAUGAUGUAUCAUGGAAUUUCAAGCAAAUGUGAGGAUGGAUUCAAGUGAUUGAAAGCUUAGUUUUGUGUAUAAAUGCAUCCAAGAGCUUCUCUCUCGAGUUUUAAAAUGGGUAAAGUGAAAACUCGCAUCAACAUCGUGGCCAUUAAUCAUGUCCACCUUUGGUCAUUUGAUCUACAAGCUUGGAGGCAUUUACAAGCGUCUGAUUGAGAGGUUUGAGAAAGAAGCUACUGAGAUGAACAAUGCAUGGGUGCUUGGGUGGAAGUUAGACCACUGAAUACUACUGCACUAUUGUUGGAGCUCUCGUAACACCAAUAUUUUCUAUAAGACACUAGGUACUGUUCCAAGAUCGGACAUAGUGAAAUAUAAUCUAUGUAUUUUCACAUCUUUUUCAAUUUGGUCCAAAAGUGAUGUUUAUCACACCAAUAGACAUUUCAAGUCAUUACCAUGCCAAGUAAUCGGUAAUAACUCAUAUUUUCUCUUUUUGGUUAAAA
Gossypium raimondii (Peruvian cotton) is the source of this 811-nucleotide long non-coding RNA. RefSeq lists it as uncharacterized. NCBI's taxonomy places the organism in Eukaryota, Viridiplantae, Streptophyta, Magnoliopsida, Malvales, Malvaceae. The transcript has 2 exons. The record is from RefSeq and is a predicted model, not a curated record.